GCUUGCUUUGGGAGCACAUACUAAAAUUGAACCAAUACAGAGAAGAUUAGCAUGGCCCUUGUGCAAGGAUGACAUGCAAAUUUGUGAAGUGUUCUAUAUUUUU
Pteronotus mesoamericanus is the source of this 103-nucleotide small nuclear RNA. NCBI's taxonomy places the organism in Eukaryota, Metazoa, Chordata, Mammalia, Chiroptera, Mormoopidae. The record is from RefSeq and is a predicted model, not a curated record.